UUUGUAGAGGAUGUUUCGAGCAUGGUCUGGCCUAAGUUCCUUGGAACAGGACGUCAUAGAGGGUGAGAAUCCCGUAUGCGGUCAGGUGCCUACGCUCAUGUGAAACUCCUUCGACGAGUCGAGUUGUUUGGGAAUGCAGCUCAAAAUGGGAGGUAAAUUUCUUCUAAAGCUAAAUAUUGGCCAGAGACCGAUAGCGCACAAGUAGAGUGAUCGAAAGAUGAAAAGCACUUUGGAAAGAGAGUUAAACAGUACGUGAAAUUGUUGAAAGGGAAGCGCUUGCAACCAGACUUGCACGCAGCUGAUCAUCCGGGCUUCUGCCCGGUGCACUCGGUUGUGUUCAGGCCAGCAUCAGUUUUGGGGGUGGGAUAAAGGCCCUAGGAAUGUAGCUCCUCUCGGGGAGUGUUAUAGCCUAGGGUGCAAUGCCACCACCCGGGACUGAGGACCGCGCUUCGGCUAGGAUGCUGGCGUAAUGGUUGUAAGCGACCCGUCU
This 490-nucleotide ribosomal RNA is filed under the name [Candida] sp. 'davisiana'. RNAcentral describes it as "eukaryotic LSU rRNA". It matches the Rfam family "Eukaryotic large subunit ribosomal RNA", at positions 149 to 654 of the family's 3401-position model. The record is from RNAcentral. Lineage: Eukaryota; Fungi; Ascomycota; Saccharomycetes; Saccharomycetales.